UUUUCACUUUCAAAGGUCAACAGCCUUCAGUAGGAUGAGCACUCAAAAACUGUACUUCUCUGGACAAGCAAAGAAAGUGACACCUUUUUUAUUAUGCCAGUUUGAAAGGAAUGAAUAACUUUAAAAGAAAGAAAUGCUCUUUAAUUUUAAAACAGGCUUUGAAAAGUGCAAUGGAAUGUUUCAGGUUUUAUCAAAAACUUCAGCUACCCCGGGAACCUGAAAGGUAUCUUGAUCACAGCAACAAAAAUCCAACUGACACAAAAAGAAAAUAAAGGGACAUACCUGAUGUCAUGCAUGCCAUUCCCACCAUUGGUGCUGUACACUCACAUCAAGAGGAGCCCUGGAUGUGCCAAGACAUCAUGCAAAGCAAGCUAUUCAUACCCAUGUUCUACAGUGGUUGACAAGAACUCCCCAGGUAGAGAGCCCAUCCAAGGGAAUACCUUGCUCUCUGCCAUCACAUGAUGCUCCAGACUUGGAAGAAUUUGACCAACUUUCUUCAAGAGAGAAGCUGUCUACACCCGUGGUCUUCUGAAAGACAGACUGAUCAUUCUCUAUUAGACUAACAUCCACUGAAUUGGAAGCAGUUAAAUGUAUUGCUUCUUCCAAAGAUUUUUAAGUUUGUCCAGGAAACAUUUUAAAGUUUCUUCUAGAUGUAGCUUUUACUUCAAUUUAGAAAUAAGUUGCAUAUAAUAGAAAUUUUGACACCAUGAUCAACUAUAGAGACCUGUUGCUUCAAGAGAUCUUAUCUUUAUAAAAAAUAUCACUCGAGACAAACUGUGGUUUCCUGUUUAAGCCUGCCCCUUCUUCCUGUAUUUUUUCCUGAGUGAUUUUUUAUUAUUGCAAGAAAAUACACAUAAUGUAAAAUAUAACAUCUCUACCAUUUUAACUAUUGUAAAAAGCUCAAAUCAAUGACAUUAGAUAGAUACACAAUUGUACAACCUUCACGAUUUUCUAUUCCAGAACAUUUUUUUAUUAUCCCAAGAAGAACCCCCAAAUCCAUUAAAUAAGCUAUCCUCAUCCCAAGGUAACCAUUAAUCUA
Molecule: long non-coding RNA, 1039 nt
Organism: Marmota monax (woodchuck)
Lineage: Eukaryota; Metazoa; Chordata; Mammalia; Rodentia; Sciuridae
Exons: 3
Source: RefSeq, a predicted model, not a curated record